GGUGUUCCAUAUUGGCUAAUUAAGAACUCUUGGGGUGAUAAUUGGGGUGAUAAUGGCUAUUUUAAGAUGGAAUUGGGGAAAAAUAUGUGUGGUGUUGCAACUUGCGCAUCAUACCCUGUUGUAGCUUAAUACAACUGUGAAGAAACGGGAGCUAUUUGAUGAGUAAUUUGUGGUAAUAAGAUUUGUGUUUCAGUAGCUCAUGAAGUUACGAAUCUGUCUCUGGGGUGAAAAGUCAUUGUGUGAAGAUGAUUGUGUUGGCUUCAUGUAUAAAAUAAGACCCUGGAUGCAAUC
This 291-nucleotide unclassified non-coding RNA is filed under the name Hevea brasiliensis (rubber tree). The record is from RNAcentral. Lineage: Eukaryota; Viridiplantae; Streptophyta; Magnoliopsida; Malpighiales; Euphorbiaceae.